GCGGGAAUAGCUCAGUUGGUAGAGCGAUACCUUGCCAAGGUAUAGGUCGCCGGUUCGAGUCCGGUUUCCCGCUCCA
RNAcentral lists this transfer RNA (76 nucleotides) under Gammaproteobacteria bacterium. Its description in RNAcentral is "tRNA-Gly". It matches the Rfam family "tRNA". From Rfam's summary of the family: Transfer RNA (tRNA) molecules are approximately 80 nucleotides in length. Their secondary structure includes four short double-helical elements and three loops (D, anti-codon, and T loops). Lineage: Bacteria; Pseudomonadati; Pseudomonadota; Gammaproteobacteria. The record is from RNAcentral. RNAcentral also lists the same sequence under 1 other name.